Molecule: long non-coding RNA, 4225 nt
Filed under: Triticum aestivum (bread wheat)
Lineage: Eukaryota; Viridiplantae; Streptophyta; Magnoliopsida; Poales; Poaceae
Description: long non-coding RNA (TAES_LNC021009)
Source: RNAcentral
UUUUUAGAAUCUCCCAAGAUUUCAACCCGAGAACAUGAAGAAGAAUGCAGAGAUAUUCGAGCGCGUGAGCGAGAUGGCUGCGAGGAAGGGUUGCACGUCGUCUCAGCUCGCGCUGGCUUGGGUUCACCACCAGGGAAGCGAUGUGUGCCCCAUACCCGGCACGACGAAAGUUGAGAAUUUCAACCAGAACCUGAGAGCAUUGUCUGUUGAGCUCACGGCUGAGGAGAUGGCUGAGCUCGAGUCCUACGCUGCCAUGGAUGCGGUCCAAGGUGAUCGGUACCACAACACGUUCCUCAACACCUGGAAGGACUCCGAGACCCCUUCCCUGUCAUCCUGGAAAGCCACUUAGUUGGGUAUCAUGGGAAUCAAUCACUAUGCUGAUGCUUCGUAUCACUGGUUUGAAAUAGUUGCAAAUCAAAUAAUUUCACGAGCACUCCGUGCAUGGAUGGAAUCAUGGAACCACCAAUUGUUUACUAAUGUAGCACAAUUCCUGCCCAUGAGUGUUGAACUUUUUAUUAUGCCUGCAAGGAAGUAUCCCCCAAGUGUUGAACUUUUUGGCAGGGCUACAAAGGCCCUUUUGUAACACAUUUUCGUCCGGAAAACCAUUUAGAAUUCCCAACCUCAUGUGAAGAUUGCGGUACGCGUCGCACCUCCUUACAGGGGCCGAAUUACAUCAAUUGUUGCACCUUCUACAUACACUGGUUGUUACUUCAAUUGUUACACACGCAAGGAAUAGAAAUAAACAGAAGAUUACAACAUAGUAAAUCUAUCUGCCUAACAAACACAUGCUUCGUGCACCCUGAUGCAAGUCUUCUGGAAGCCUCUAGAGUCCUUUGGAUACUUCGGCCUACGGCGGCGACCUCACUGUGGAUUGUGAUGACUGCCAAAAGGUCUUCGCGAGGUUAAUCUCUCAAGAUCCGGUGCUUGCCUUCGGCUGUGAAAUGCAAUUUAUGGAUGACGACUUGAUGCACAAGGUAUGGUUAUGCAGUGGCGCCGAUUGAUUUUCCAGCCCAGCUUCUAGGAUUGUGGAAAAGUGAUGGCGACAACCCAUGAUUGGCUUUGAUGGUGGUAUUUCUCGAGUACCCAGUUUUGAGCUUCGGGGUGAAAAACGUAGGUAUGAUCCGAGUUGGUUGUACAUGACAAUGGUGAUGUUUUUGUGUCAUUAUUUUAUUAAAGGCAUUGCUUGGAUAUGCCCAGUCUGGUUCUUCCGAGUAGAAAUCUAGACUCUAGUCUUUGGUGGUCGGAAUAGGUGACCGAGGUGAUGUUGAAUAACCUCAUUGUUCUUGUGGUGUCAUGAGAUGGUUAGUGCAGAGAUGAUUAUUAUUGUAGUUUUUUUAUUUUGGAUUUGAUCACUUCGGGGUUUUGGUUUUCUUUCUGGCUUAGACAUGACUUUCAUAUUGUGUGACUUUGCUAAUCGCUGCACCAAUGAACUAUCAUGGGUAAGCCCAUAGAUGAUGUCAAGAAGCUACUUGAUGAUAUGCAAGGGAACCAUGCCCAAUGACAUGUUGAAAGAACUACCACCAAAAAAGUCAAUACAGUUGAAGAAAACAACACGGAGUUGACAGCUAAGCUUGAUGAACUCAUCUCCGUCAUGAAAGGUAAAGAAGAGGUAGCGUAAAUGCCAUAUCACCGAUGUAGAAGUCAAUGAUGUUAAUUUCAUUGCUCGUAAUAGCUAUAAUCCAAACUGAUAAAAUAAUGGGUAUGCCCCAAAAUAUACACAGUGAUGCUAUGCUCUAGUUCAAAAUUUGACGUACGUUGUGGUUGGGUAUAUGGCGUUUGGCCAGAAAGGCGCUUACAAAGUCGGUUUAUAAGGAGGCGUUUGUUCUAACAGACGUAUAUAUCAUAUGGACAAGGCUUCACAAAGCAACUGCCGGUAGACAGUUAUGUUAAAGAUAAUAUUAACCGCCUAUUUAGCCUAACAAUGAUGCUAACUAUUUCUAACAAACUAUUAUGAUUUCCUAUCAGAAGAGGCAACAACAAUAUCCUAAAUGACAUAGCUUGCCUCACACGCCCUAAUAAUUACUCGCUUGAACGCUCUUAUAUUAUGGGAUGGAGGGAGGCUUUUCUGAGAAUGUGCCACACACGAAUGACUCAGUGUAUGGACAAUCUCCUUGGAUCGCCUCGUCACUCACUCGACACGCCGGAGCGGAUAGCAGGCAGGCGUCGCCGUCGUAUCGUGUGUCCGAGACAAACCUAUCCACAAGCCAGCCAGCCAGCCAAGCCAGGAAUCGUAGACAGGACACAUGCAUGGCUGUGACACACACGAUUCGGAUGCCAGGCCCGUCCGAUUCUCCGAUGAGUUGCGUGCGUGAGCUCACGAACCCCCGGCCAACGGCGACGCUGAAAUCGACCGACGGGGCGUGGGCAGUCACUUCGCACUUCGGUGUCCAUCAUCGAAUUUUUCAUGUGGCGGAGACGGGCGGUGACCCGUCGCCCAUCGCCGUGGCAUCUGCCUCCUGGACCCACACGUUCCUUUCCCCCGUGGCGUGCCCAUCCGUUGGACCAGCCAGUCAGCCACCGUGGCGUCCCACUCGAACCGCCCCGCCACUCACUCACUGUCAUGUAGUACGAGGAAUCUAGAAGAGGACCUUAGAAGAGUGAAAAAGAUCAAUGUCCAUUUCAAUUUAACGUACGGGGUGACGCUCUGCGCUAAUUCGGCAGCUCAUUCAAACCAGCAGCCUGGUGACCUACUCCAUGACGCCCUCCACCGCACUAUAAAUUGCACCGCAGCAUUGCACUGCAAGUUCCAGACCUACUUACUCAUCCACCAAUCAUCAGUUCAUCACAGCACGAACGACAUGGCUGCUGCUCCGGUGGUUGUGCCGCGCAUGAAGCUGGGCUCGCAGGGGCUGGAGGUCUCGGCGCAGGGCCUCGGCUGCAUGGGCAUGUCCGCGGCCUACGGCGAGCGCAAGCCCGACCAGGACAUGAUCGCGCUCCUCCGCAACGCCGUCGCCGCCGGCGUCACCUUCCUGGACACCUCCGACAUCUACGGCCCCCACACCAACGAGCUCUUGCUCGGGAAGGUAGGUUACCAUACUACAGCCACCCGACGUGUUCCUUGGCUCCCUUCUAGUAGUUGCCAUAUCAUUCGCACGCGGAUGUCUGACCGGCAAGGGUUCUCCGUGUGAUAAAGCAGGCGCUGCAGGGAGGGGCGAGGGAGAAGGUCCAGUUGGCCAUGAAAUUCGGCAUCACGCCGGCCCGGGAGGUCCGCGGCGACCCGGCGUACGUGCGGGCGGCGUGCGAGGGCAGCCUCGCUCGGCUCGGCUUCGAAUGCAUCGACCUCUACUACCAGCACCGCAUUGACAAGAAUGUUCCCGUCGAGAUCACGGUCAGUCCCUACUACGUAGUAGCACUUGUUCAGGUUCGUUUCAUUUAGACAGAUUGAGGGCUUGCAGGUAUCGACCAGUCUACCUUCUUGACUUCCGUAUGCAUGUAGAUGGGUGAGAUCAAGAAACUAGUCCAAGAAGGAAAGGUGAAAUACGUCGGGUUGUCGGAAGCCUCGGCGUCGACAAUCAGAAGGGCACAUGCAGUUCAUCCGAUCACUGCCGUUCAGCUGGAGUGGUCUUUGUGGUCAAGAGAUGUUGAAGAAGAUAUAAUACCAACUUGCAGGUUUUUGCAACGACCAUAAACCUACCUUUUCUUUUCAAAAUCAGCUUCAUAGUACUUUAUGAAACGUCCUCAAAAAGAACUUACAAAUUAUUUACUGUUUCAGAGAAGUUGGCAUUGGAAUUGUUGCGUACAGUCCACUAGGCAGAGGUUUUCUAUCCACUGGACCAAAACUGUUGGACACAUUACCAGAGAACGAUUUCCGCAAGGUAAAUGAACCACCCAUGACACUUCCUUCUUCAUACGGUUAGCUGGCUUUUUUUCUUUCUCUUUUCUCCUUUUUCUAACAAAUGCAUCCCAUUGUGUUUUAAGAAUCUCCCAAGAUUUCAACCCGAGAACAUGGAGAAGAACGCGGCGAUAUUCGAGCGCGUGAGCAAGAUGGCUGCGAGGAAGGGUUGCACGUCGUCCCAGCUCGCGUUGGCUUGGGUUCACCAUCAGGGAAGCGAUGUGUGUCCUAUACCUGGCACAACGAAAGUUGAGAAUCUCAAGCAGAACGUGAGAGCGCUUUCUGUGGAGCUCAUGGCUGAGGAGAUGGUUGAGCUCGAGUCCUAUGCCGCCAUGGAUGCGGUCCAAGGUGAUCGCUACCACAUCACGUUCCUCAACACCUGGAAGGACUCCG